RNAcentral lists this ribosomal RNA (466 nucleotides) under uncultured bacterium. Its description in RNAcentral is "partial 16S ribosomal RNA". It matches the Rfam family "Bacterial small subunit ribosomal RNA", at positions 28 to 507 of the family's 1533-position model. The record is from RNAcentral.
GAUGAACGCUGGCGGCGUGCUUAACACAUGCAAGUCGAACGAUGAAGCCCAGCUUGCUGGGUGGAUUAGUGGCGAACGGGUGAGUAGCACGUGAGUAACCUGCCCUUAACUCUGGGAUAAGCCUGGGAAACUGGGUCUAAUACCGGAUAGGAGCGUCCACCGCAUGGUGGGUGUUGGAAAGAUUUAUCGGUUUUGGAUGGACUCGCGGCCUAUCAGCUUGUUGGUGAGGUAAUGGCUCACCAAGGCGACGACGGGUAGCCGGCCUGAGAGGGUGACCGGCCACACUGGGACUGAGACACGGCCCAGACUCCUACGGGAGGCAGCAGUGGGGAAUAUUGCACAAUGGGCGAAAGCCUGAUGCAGCGACGCCGCGUGAGGGAUGACGGCCUUCGGGUUGUAAACCUCUUUCAGUAGGGAAGAAGCGAAAGUGACGGUACCUGCAGAAGAAGCACCGGCUAACUACGUG